This is an RNA transcript of Acinonyx jubatus (cheetah), 4335 nucleotides long. It is a transcript of the gene named zinc finger protein 474, with no coding region annotated. The transcript has 8 exons. The record is from RefSeq and is a predicted model, not a curated record. NCBI's taxonomy places the organism in Eukaryota, Metazoa, Chordata, Mammalia, Carnivora, Felidae.
UACAUAAAUUAGUAAAAUUGAUGGAAGAUGUAUUUACAACUUUAACUUAUAAGUUACUAUAUAAGUUAAUAAAAUAAGAUAGUUGUUCCCAAGAAAAUUAAGUUGAAAGCUUUUAAAACACUUGAUGGAGGUGAGUCACCAAAAACUGCUUUUGCAUUACAUGUGGACAAUUAGUGUAAAAAAUUGGGAUAGGGGAGAAAGAUUGUACAGUCAGAUUGCUUUACAAGCAAUCUUCAAACUCUCAACGUUAAAGAAAUAAAAAUUAGAAACUAUAGGUAAUGCAUGAUGAAGAGGCUUAUUUAAAAAAAACAGCAUGUAUUCAAUCAUUUGACCUAAUGGCUACACAUCAAAAGAUUGUGCAUAAAUGUGCAUGCAUUUGCAUAAUAGUGAAUAAAUGUCUAUUUUUAAAUUGAAAAAGAAAGUUAAAGAUAAGCCCAAUUUUUUUGUGAAUAAGUGCUUGAACUGAAUUUUUAAGUUAAUAACCAACUAUCAAUUCAGAUUACAUCAGGAUUUCUACUGUAUGUGACAGAACCAACGAGAAGUUAAAAGUAUGAGUUUUGUUAUAGUCCUAAAUGUUCUGUAUAGAACUAUUUAUAAGACUAACAGAAGGGACUAGAGACUCAUAUAAACGUUGUGUCUCCCGCGUACACUAUUCGUGUUUGAAGAGGAGUCAGAACAAGAGUCUAAUGCUUCAUCCUCUCCUGUGUGGGAGAAGGUGCAAGAAAAAGGGAAACUGAUCCAACAAGGCGCUAUGAUCUGUGUUUACCUGUUCCAGGAGGUUCUUGUGCACUGGGCAGCAGUAUGAGUUGCUCAGAGAGGGGAGUGGCCCUGGUGCUCCAGGAUCUGGCUCUAGGCUCUGACUUCAGGAGAUUGGAGGAAUCUGCAUCACCCUAAGGGACCAGACUUUCUCCAGAGAAUUCUGCCCCAGAGGUGAUUGCUAACACUUAGGAAUGUAUAAUACAGUGAGGGGAGGGGUUAAAAAGUACACACCAAGACUCAAAUCUACACCAAAUGUGGUUUCUUUUUUCUUUAAAAUUCUCUUCUUGCCUUAGCAACCCUAUUCCUGCUGAUGCCAGGAAAAUAAUGGCACUUGCCAAUUAAAGGCACGUUAUUCUCUUAAAAUUCAAAAAUGUUAAUCAGGGUUAACUUUCGCUUUCAAGAUUUUGUACUUCCUUUCUUUCUGCCCACACUGGCAUCUGGAUAUAAGGGGAAGCUAAAGCAGCCUUUGAACACUGGAGGAGGGCAGUCUUUCUCACCAGCUUUUGCUCAGAUGCCCUCAUCUUGCCUUGUUCCUGGGAAAGUGUGUGGUGUCUGCUGAGUUGGAGUGGGUCUUGUCUGUACUAGUGCUGUGGUGUUCUGCUGGCAUGCAUACGCCGGUGAUCAUGGAAAUAGCCAUUGUCUUUAUUUUACAGUGACCCCCGUUCCACGGUCUCCUGGGUCUGUGUGUCUUGUUCAUGAGUGUCCCACUGGGAAACUCCAGAGUGUUUGCCUGCCUUCUGCACACAAUAUGGCAGGGUGCAGGAUUCUGUGAGCCAGCUCAAGGCCCUUCCCUCAGCCUUUGCUGUUACUCUCUCACCAAACUCGAUAUGGGGCUUUGCUAAGGAAUGUAUUCUCCCGGAAGGGUUUUGUGGACAGAGACUAUCAGCUCUUGAAUCAUCCCAUGACCUGUUUGAUAUCUUUCCACUUCAGCCCAGGAACACUGACCCUAAGAGUGUAUGGACCCUGGCUUUUGCUUUUCUAAAUACCACUGACCCAAGGCUGUGUGUAGAGGAGAAUUUCCCAAAGAUUUGGAACACACAUGUGGGUGCAGCAGCGUGGAGCCCUUCACAGUGAAUGGUUGCCAGGAUACCUCUAGGCGACAAAGGCUGGGGCUCCCCUUUCAAGCAGCUGCACACACUGUAGGAAUUCUUGCAAGAGGGAAUGUGAAUCCUGGAGCUAAUUCUGCCCGUUUCCACCAGCCCCCUCCCUGAGGGGCUCAGCUGGCCAUGCUAAAAGCCGCAGUAGAAAGGUGAAAACGAAUAUUACAAGAUCUUGGAAGCAUCUGAGGUUUAAUGAGGACUUUCCAGCAUUCCAGACUGCUGCCCUGCAAUGAAGCUCUGAGUCACGGUCUUUGGGACUAAGGUAUUGGCAACAGUGUGGAACCCCAGGACAGCCAACCUGACUAACCUUCGCUGUAACCAGGAUCCCAAAAGGGGUCUGGCAUGAAAUCAGAGCAUAGAGAAAGACUUGCUUGUUAAUGGAAACAGGAAAGAAAAAAAGGGUUUCCAACAAAUUGCAACAGACUUUCCACCAUUCUAAAGAACCCACCUUCCUUAUCGACCAAGCCGUUCUAUCUAGUGACUCCCAUUCCAGCCUUUUGCCAGAAACAGAGCAUGUCAAUCCUGCUGGAAAAAUAAAGAUAGGACCUCUGACAAGACCUGGAACAGUGAUACUCUCAAAACGGUCCAGGAGGAGAAUUAUGUCAGAAAGUCCGCACAGCCCCCCUGUGAUACCAUCCCGCAGGCCUGGAUUCCGGGUGUGCUAUAUCUGUGGCCGAGAAUUUGGCUCCCAAUCAAUUGCCAUUCAUGAACCCCAGUGCUUGGAGAAGUGGCAUAUUGAAAACAGCAAGUUGCCCAAGCACCUGCGGAGGCCAGAACCCUCCAAACCACAGCCUCUCAGGGGCAGUGGGUCCUACAAUCUUCAGGCCGUGAACGAAGCAGCGUUUCAAAGUUCCCAGGCUCAGCUGCUGCCCUGUGAAUCCUGUGGCCGCACAUUCUUGCCGGAUCGUCGUCUUGUUCACCAGAGGAGCUGCAAGCCGAAGGAUGAGGGGCCCAGAGCACCAAACCCCAACCGUUUUGAUGAUCCGACUGGUGCCAGGAAAGCUGCUGGUGGCAUCCCAGCCCGACCAAAGACUCUCAUCUGCUACAUUUGUGGUAGGGAAUUUGGCACUCUGUCCCUUCCUAUUCAUGAGCCCAAAUGCCUAGAAAAGUGGCAAAUAGAAAACGACCGGCUCCCCAGGGAGCUCCGCCGACCACUCCCACGGAAGCCUCAGCCCCUUCCAACUGGACAGUCCAACCAAGAGGAGCCAAGUCAAGCUCAGCUGGUGCCCUGUGCAAAUUGCGGCCGGACCUUUGCCCCAGACCGCCUUUUGGUACACCAGAGAAGCUGUAGGGUUCAACCAAGUGCACCAAAAAUUCAGAAUUUGACCUUAGGGAGGAAAGGUGGCCUGAAAGAGUCCACAAAUUCCAAGCAGCAAAGGAACAUGGCAGUGCCCACUGUGACUGAUAAGCCAGCAAUGAUAAGGCGUCCACCAACAAUCAUCUGCUACAUUUGUGGCCGUGAAUAUGGAACAAAAUCCAUUGCCAUCCACGAGCCACAAUGUCUGAAAAAAUGGCAUAACGAAAACAACUUGUUGCCCAAAGAAUUAAGGAGAUCAGAACCCAAGAAACCAGAAGUCAGGACCAUUACUGAUUAUACAUCUCUCAGACGUCUUGAUUGUUCUCUUAAGGACGCUUCUUUUCAUCAGCCAAAGGUUUCUAUGAUCUCGAUGCCUUAAAUGAAGCUGCUUGGACAAGCGCCCUGAGCCAGUUGGUUCCCUGUAAUAUUUGUGGGCGUACCUUCCUGCCAGACAGACUGAUUGUUCACCAACGAUCCUGAAGAAGAGGUUAACUUUUCAAAUAGUCUUUAGAUAACCUCAGAGAAGAUUACCAUCUUGAGAAAGACAGCAUUUAAUGACCCGUUGAUGGUUUAGUUCUUUUAUUUUGCGGGCAAAAAUGACAUCUAGUAAUGGAGUUAGUAUAGUGUGAGUCAGACUCUGUGCCUCGUGCUUCCCAUACUCAGUGUGUAUAAAUCUCACAUCAACCCUACAAGGAGACGUUAUCUAUAUUUUACAUCCGAGGAAACUGGUAUUUAAAUAGGUCGAUAGCUAACGAGGUCACACUGGGCUGGAGUCGAGUGAAGCAAACUCGCGACCUUUGGAAUUCCAAACUCAUACUCUUUGCCAGUGCUAUUUGUGUGAUGGAUGUCAUCACGAACACAAUGAACUGUACUAACCAACGAUCUGCCAGGUGUGAUUUUUUUUUUUUUAAUCCAGUGUUUAGCACCUAAGGCAACUGGGAAUCUCAGCAUGCUUGUAGUUUGUCUGCUGGAAUUUUUGGUCAACUGUGGAGGUGAAAACAGAAGUCGGAACUGCCCUCGCUGUCUUGCAGAGGCCACUGUGCCUUCUGCUAAUGGUGGAAGCAGUCAAAUGGGGGAGAUAAAGCAGAAGUGCUGGUCUCAACUUUGAAAGCAGUUGCCUAAAAAAGACAUCCUUAUACACAUUUCUUUCAAAGCAUGACCAAAAAAAAAAUAAAUAAA